Molecule: long non-coding RNA, 357 nt
Filed under: Equus caballus (horse)
Lineage: Eukaryota; Metazoa; Chordata; Mammalia; Perissodactyla; Equidae
Description: lncRNA (ENSECAG00000058647.1)
Source: RNAcentral
CUUCUCCACAUGUAUUUAGUAAAAAGCUUUAGCCAUCUGAGCAGGUAAACUUAAUCAUUCCAACUACCAGAAACACAAUUUGGAUCUAACUGUUCUUUUAUAAACAGAUUUAAGGAAAUCUUUUCUCUUAAGCUAUCUCUGUAUUACAGCAAUAUGGUAAAGUAUACUUUCUGAACAAAGAUGAAACAGUUGAAAUGCCGUAUUAACUACCUGAUUGCUCAUACCAUGCGGACCUAACUUUGGGAGCCCACUUGCAUUACUGCCUCAUGAAAUGAGGCAAACUGUUUAACUGAACCAUUCUGCAUUUAACUACAAACUAUUUAACUUACCUAUUGUCAAGAUUAAGAGACUGGUUCA